AGUCAAUGAUGCAAAACAUUAAGGCUUGUUUCUCAAAAUACAUUCGCAGUGGCUGCCUGAGAGCUUUCGCCUCGCCGGGCUUGAGAGCAUAUGCUGCUUAACUCUUCCUUCCUUGGAUGUCUGAGACU
Molecule: small nucleolar RNA, 128 nt
Filed under: Ananas comosus (pineapple)
Lineage: Eukaryota; Viridiplantae; Streptophyta; Magnoliopsida; Poales; Bromeliaceae
Description: Small nucleolar RNA SNORD14
Rfam family: Small nucleolar RNA SNORD14
About the family: U14 small nucleolar RNA (U14 snoRNA) is required for early cleavages of eukaryotic precursor rRNAs.
Source: Rfam by way of RNAcentral